CCAGUCCGGCCCGAUGGGAUUUUGGGGCGUGACAAAAGUGGUAUCAGAGAGGUUCGUCCUAGUGAGUCUACAAAGCCGUGUCUACGUAGAGUCUUGUUUAUCGGUGUGUUGUGCACCACAUCUAUAAACAGGAGGCUAUGGACAUUUAGGAAUUGUUUCUUUUCUUCAUGUCUUAGAUCGUGCGAUAGAGCCUAUAUUGUAUAUGAAGUCAUAGUUGACCACUGAAUCCGUUUGUUUCUCUUAUUAUAGUAAUGAUGCCGG
Molecule: long non-coding RNA, 261 nt
Filed under: Capsicum annuum
Lineage: Eukaryota; Viridiplantae; Streptophyta; Magnoliopsida; Solanales; Solanaceae
Description: long non-coding RNA (CANN_LNC021446)
Source: RNAcentral